This 1447-nucleotide ribosomal RNA is filed under the name uncultured bacterium. RNAcentral's name for it is "bacterial SSU rRNA". It matches the Rfam family "Bacterial small subunit ribosomal RNA". The record is from RNAcentral.
AGAGUUUGAUCCUGGCUCAGGAUGAACGCUGGCGGCGUGCUUAACACAUGCAAGUCGAACGAACCUUCGGGUUAGUGGCGGACGGGUGAGUAACGCGUGAGAAUCUGCCCUCAGGAGGGGGACAACAGCUGGAAACGGCUGCUAAUACCCCAUAUGCCGCGAGGUGAAAUGAAUUUCGCCUGAGGAUGAGCUCGCGUCUGAUUAGCUAGUUGGUGUAGGUAAUGGCUCACCAAGGCAUCGAUCAGUAGCUGGUCUGAGAGGAUGAUCAGCCACACUGGGACUGAGACACGGCCCAGACUCCUACGGGAGGCAGCAGUGGGGAAUUUUCCGCAAUGGGCGAAAGCCUGACGGAGCAACGCCGCGUGAGGGAUGAAGGCCUCUGGGCUGUAAACCUCUUUUAUCAAGGAAGAAGAUCUGACGGUACUUGAUGAAUAAGCCACGGCUAAUUCCGUGCCAGCAGCCGCGGUAAUACGGGAGUGGCAAGCGUUAUCCGGAAUUAUUGGGCGUAAAGCGUCCGCAGGCGGCCCUUCAAGUCUGCUGUUAAAAAGUGGAGCUUAACUCCAUCAUGGCAGUGGAAACUGUUGGGCUUGAGUGUGGUAGGGGCAGAGGGAAUUCCCGGUGUAGCGGUGAAAUGCGUAGAUAUCGGGAAGAACACCAGUGGCGAAGGCGCUCUGCUGGGCCAUCACUGACGCUCAUGGACGAAAGCCAGGGGAGCGAAAGGGAUUAGAUACCCCUGUAGUCCUGGCCGUAAACGAUGAACACUAGGUGUCGGGGGAAUCGACCCCCUCGGUGUCGUAGCCAACGCGUUAAGUGUUCCGCCUGGGGAGUACGCACGCAAGUGUGAAACUCAAAGGAAUUGACGGGGGCCCGCACAAGCGGUGGAGUAUGUGGUUUAAUUCGAUGCAACGCGAAGAACCUUACCAGGGUUUGACAUCCUGCGAAUCUCUUGGAAACAGGAGAGUGCCUUCGGGAACGCAGUGACAGGUGGUGCAUGGCCGUCGUCAGCUCGUGUCGUGAGAUGUUGGGUUAAGUCCCGCAACGAGCGCAACCCACGUCUUUAGUUGCCAGCAUUUAGUUGGGCACUCUAGAGAGACUGCCGGUGAUAAACCGGAGGAAGGUGUGGAUGACGUCAAGUCAUCAUGCCCCUUACAUCCUGGGCUACACACGUACUACAAUGCUACGGACAAAGGGCAGCAAGUUCGCGAGGACAAGCAAAUCCCAUAAACCGUGGCUCAGUUCAGAUCGUAGGCUGCAACUCGCCUACGUGAAGGCGGAAUCGCUAGUAAUCGCAGGUCAGCAUACUGCGGUGAAUACGUUCCCGGGCCUUGUACACACCGCCCGUCACACCAUGGAAGUUGGCCACGCCCGAAGCCGUUACUCCAACCCUUGUGGAGGAGGACGUCGAAGGUGGGGCUGAUGACUGGGGUGAAGUCGUAACAAGGUAACC